This 229-nucleotide ribosomal RNA is filed under the name uncultured bacterium. RNAcentral describes it as "partial 16S ribosomal RNA". It matches the Rfam family "Bacterial small subunit ribosomal RNA", at positions 568 to 796 of the family's 1533-position model. The record is from RNAcentral.
CGCGUAGGCGGUCUUAUUAGUCAGAUGUGAAAGCCCGGGGCUCAACCCCGGAAGAGCAUUUGAAACGGCAAGACUUGAGUAUGGGAGAGGGAAGUGGAAUUCCUGGUGUAGAGGUGAAAUUCGUAGAUAUCAGGAGGAACAUCUGUGGCGAAGGCGACUUCCUGGACCAAUACUGACGCUAAGGCGCGAAGGCGUGGGUAGCAAACAGGAUUAGAUACCCUGGUAGACC